Molecule: long non-coding RNA, 1592 nt
Organism: Epinephelus fuscoguttatus (brown-marbled grouper)
Lineage: Eukaryota; Metazoa; Chordata; Actinopteri; Perciformes; Serranidae
Exons: 5
Source: RefSeq, a predicted model, not a curated record
AUUAUGAACAGUAUAAAAAUAAAUAUGAACAGUGUAAAACUUAUGUGCAGUAAUUAGCACAUCAACAAUCAGCACAUUUCAUCUGUUUUUCACUGAGGAAAUCUAUGACAUCUUGGUCAACAUGACAAACCUGCAGGUAAAGUAGAAACUAUUACACUCCUUAGAUAACAUUUUCAGCAUAAUUUAACAAUACUGAGAUAAUAUUGAUGACUGUAAUACUUGUGUUCAUAAUAAUUGUGAUAUGAAAUUUUCAUACUGUUUCAUCUCUAUGUACAGGGCCAUCGGCUCUUGCAGAAAUGGACACCUGCAGACAAACUGGAGAUGUAGGCCUUCAUCGGCCUUCUCCUCUUGGCUGGUGUGUACAAAUCACGUGGUGAAAACACCCUGAGCCUCUGGGGCAAGGAUGGCAGGGAUAUCUUCCUGGCAGUAAUGUCGAGGAAGAGGUUCAACAUCAUAUCCAGGAUGCUAAGUUGGAUUUUCAUUUAAUAUAUUGAGUCAUUCAAUUAUAAUUUAAUUUCAUGUCAAAUAAAUAAUUUAUAUAAAUGAAUGUAUUAAUAAAUAGUUUUUAAAAAUUGAAUUAAAAAUAGAUGUAUAUAUGCAUUAAUUUCAUCUAGGUGGAUAAAGGGAUGUGUUGUGACAUUGUUCUUCUUAUUUUUAAUCGAUUAGGUUCGAUGACCGUGAAAAAUGAGCGGCACGCUUUCGGCGGGACCAUGACAAAUUGGGACCAAUCAGAGAAGUCUGGGACAUCUGGGUCUCCGCUGUGCAAAAGAUGUGGGCACCUUGUUCAGAGGUCUGUGUGGACGAGAUGCUGAUUGGUUUUCGUGGAAGAUGUCCCUUCUUGCAGUACAUGCCUUCAAAGCCAGACAAAUAUGGAUUGAAGGUGUGGGUCCUCUGUGAGUGCUUUACAUCUUACUGCUGGAAUCUUCAGAUUUAUCUGGGGAAACUAUCCCCAACAGCAAAACAUUAGGUGGGCCUAGGGAAGCGAGUGGUGAUGGAGCUGACGGUGGGCCUUACGGGAACCAUGACCACCGACAACUUCUUCACGUCUCAUGACCUGGGGCAGCAGCUGCUAAAGAGGGGGAUGGCCCUCGUUGGCACAAUCCGUAAAACCGAGCCAGAGCUCCCACCACAGCUCCUGCAGAUGAGGGGAAGGGAGGUGCUGUCCACCAUCUUUGGAUUCACCAAAGACACAAUGGUCUGCUCCUACAUGCCAAAGGAUCAAAAGCUGGUGGUGCUCCUCAGUACAAGGCACUGGCAGCCAGUGGUUACUGGCACCUACACAUGCCACAGGCAGACAAGGAGGUGGCCAGUGGCUGUCUUCUCCAGAGAGUUCGGCAUCUCCUGCUGGAACGGCUUCCUUGUUUGGACAGCUCUGAACCCAAGAUGAGAAAUAAGGAAGACACACCGCAGGAGGCUUUUCUUUGACAUCCUUGGGAAAGGACUCCCCGAUGACCACCCGCUACCACCCACCAGACACGAGCUGCCACCCACUACAACCUGCAUGCAGCCAUGCAGCAAAAGCUAAUUGGUUUCAUGUUUUUACAAUUCAAUCACAACAAUUACAUCAGUUAAAAAAAACUAAAUUGAUCUUA